AGUAACUCUCAAUUGUCAUUGCCUCUUCCAGUCGUCUGCCACGUAGAGAAGGCCACAGGUUUCAACACCAGUUUUGUGUCUCCUUGGAGGGAUGAUGAUGGCCCUGAUGGCAGCCCUACCCACCCUGCUAAGGAUGAUAACCGUCCGACCCGUCCUACCCACCCUCAGCACCCUCCUAGGAGGGGUAAGAGACACGCUGGGGAUUCUCACGGGGAUUCAUCCAGUGCUGAAAGUCAUCAGUUCAGCUCAUCAAAAGAGGACUCCAGAAAAGAAGACUCCAGCGAAGAGGAGACCAGCGAAGAAGAGACCAUGUGGACCCUCUACGGCUUGUUUCAGCUGAGCGACCGUGUGAUCUGUGCCAACGGCUCCACUCCGUCUCUGAACCUUUGCCAGAUGAACUGCAGUGAUUUGAUCGACGACGACGUCAGUGACGACUUGGACUGUGUGGAGACAAUCAAACAGACAGUGGAAAGUGGGCCCAGGGAUCAUAAAAUGGCUUUAAUGAGAAUGUUUAAGCUGCUCUUCCAGAAGGAAUGUGUCAUGACGGUUGCCUCUAGCUACUUCUCCGAGUGUUGA
This 576-nucleotide long non-coding RNA is filed under the name Oncorhynchus mykiss (rainbow trout). RNAcentral describes it as "lncRNA (ENSOMYG00000059072.1)". The record is from RNAcentral. Lineage: Eukaryota; Metazoa; Chordata; Actinopteri; Salmoniformes; Salmonidae.